Molecule: long non-coding RNA, 971 nt
Filed under: Homo sapiens (human)
Lineage: Eukaryota; Metazoa; Chordata; Mammalia; Primates; Hominidae
Description: non-protein coding lnc-MORC1-1:2
Source: RNAcentral
GUGGCUCCUGCUACUGCUCACCCCACAAGCCCUGACUGCUAAUAUCUGCCCAGGGCCCUGUUUCCUUCCCUAGUAUUCCUGUGGGCUGGUUAGCUUGUUACUCAAGAGCCACCGUGUGGAGUCCAUGCUCCUAUAGUAGCCUAAAAUGAGGAAACUGCCCUUCAUUAACCCAACUCUAGCUUGUUCCAAAACAUGGAGCACAGAACAUUGCUGCCUGUAACCCCUGGAAUGGCACAAGAUUAUCUAUUUAUUUAUCCUUUAAUCACAGCUGGAGGCCUCAGAUAUGAAUAUUCAGGAUUGGUGAAAGAACUCAACAAUUUGACUGAGUGUCAUAAUUGUGGCACAGGGAGGAAGGAAGGACAGCAUACCAAGCCCUUAAUCACACGCUACCCAGAUACCAGCAUAAGGCCCGACAUUCUAGAACAGGGGCCAGCUCAUGGCCUACUUUUCUUUGGCCGGUAAGCUAAGAAUGGUUUUUACAUCUUUAAAUUGUUGUGAAAACAAAACAAAAAACAAAGAAAAUGCCAGAGACCUAUGUGACAUGCAAGCCUAGAAUACUUACUGUCAGGCCUCUGAGCCCAAGCUAAGCCAUCAUAUCCCCUGUGACCUGCAGGUAAACAUCCAGAUGGCCGGUUUCUGCCUUAACUGAUGACAUUCCGCCACAAAAGAAGUGAAAAUGGCCUAUUCCUGCCUUAACUGAUGACAUUAUCUUGUGAAAUUCCUUCUCCUGGCUCAUCCUGGCUCAAAAGCUCCCCUACUGAGCACCUUGUGACCCCCCAUUCCUGCCCCCCCAGAGAACAACCCCCCUUUUUCCUUUACCUACCCAAAUCCUAUAAAACAGCCCCACCCCUAUCUCCCUUCGCUGACUCUCUUUUCGGACUCAGCCCGCCUGCACCCAGGUGAUUAAAAGCUUUAUUGCUCACACAAAGCCUGUUGGGUGGUCUCUUCACACGGACGCACAUAAAACUUAC